AACUGUAACGCUGGCGGUCGAUAGCCUAAUACAAUGCAAGUCGAACGGACUUGAGGAGAGCUUGCUUUCCGCAAGUCAGUGGCGAACGGGUGAGUAACACGUAGGCGAACCUGCCCACUGUACCCGGGAUAACAGACGGAAACGACUGCUAAACCGGAUAGGUAAGAGGGAGGCAUCUUCCGCUUAUCAAAGCACCCAAGGGUGUGGACAUGGAUGGGCCUGCGGCGCAUUAGCCGGUUGGCGGGGUAACGGCCCACCAAAGCAAUGAUGCGUAGCCGACCUGAGAGGGCGAACGGCCACAUUGGGACUGAGACACGGCCCAAACUCCUACGGGAGGCAGCAGUAGGGAAUUUUCGUCAAUGGAGGGAACUCUGAACGAGCAAUGCCGCGUGAGUGAAGAAGGUCUUCGGAUCGUAAAGCUCUGUUGCAAGAGAAAAACGACAAGCACAGGGAAUGGUGAUUGAGUGAUGGUAUCUUGCGAGGAAGCCACGGCUACCUACGUG
RNAcentral lists this ribosomal RNA (503 nucleotides) under uncultured Bacillota bacterium. RNAcentral describes it as "bacterial SSU rRNA". It matches the Rfam family "Bacterial small subunit ribosomal RNA", at positions 32 to 507 of the family's 1533-position model. The record is from RNAcentral. Lineage: Bacteria; Bacillati; Bacillota.